GAUGAACGCUAGCGGCAGGCCUAACACAUGCAAGUCGAGGGAGAAGCCCUUCGGGGCAGAAACCGGCGCACGGGUGCGUAACGCGUAUGCAACCUACCUUUCACAGGGGGAUAGCCCGAAGAAAUUUGGAUUAAUACCCCAUAAUAUUAUUGGAUGGCAUCAUUUGAUAAUUAAAAUUACGAUGGUGAAAGAUGGGCAUGCGUCCUAUUAGCUAGUUGGAGUGGUAACGGCACCCCAAGGCUACGAUAGGUAGGGGUCCUGAGAGGGAGAUCCCCCACACUGGUACUGAGACAGGGACCAGACUCCUACGGGAGGCAGCAGUGAGGAAUAUUGGUCAAUGGUCGGAAGACUGAACCAGCCAUGCCGCGUGCAGGAAGAAUGCCUUAUGGGUUGUAAACUGCUUUUAUAUGGGAAGAAUAAGGAGUACGCGUAC
RNAcentral lists this ribosomal RNA (433 nucleotides) under Capnocytophaga granulosa. Its description in RNAcentral is "bacterial SSU rRNA". It matches the Rfam family "Bacterial small subunit ribosomal RNA", at positions 28 to 465 of the family's 1533-position model. Lineage: Bacteria; Pseudomonadati; Bacteroidota; Flavobacteriia; Flavobacteriales; Flavobacteriaceae. The record is from RNAcentral.